AACCUAGCACACCUGCGGUGUGUACCUGCGGAAGGAUCAUUAACGAAUAUCUAUGGCGUUGGUUGUAGCUGGCUCCUAGGAGCAUUUGUGCACACCCGUCAUUCAUAUCAUCUUUCCACCUGUGAACUAUGUGUAGGCUUGGAUACCUCUCGCUUUGGUGACAAGGCGGAUGCAAGGAUUGCUGCGUCGACAAGGCCAGCUCUCUUUGAAUUUCCAGGUCUAUGUCUUUUUACACACUCC
This 240-nucleotide unclassified non-coding RNA is filed under the name soil metagenome. Its description in RNAcentral is "partial contains 5.8S ribosomal RNA, internal transcribed spacer 2, and large subunit ribosomal RNA". The record is from RNAcentral.